This 253-nucleotide ribosomal RNA is filed under the name uncultured bacterium. RNAcentral describes it as "partial 16S ribosomal RNA". It matches the Rfam family "Bacterial small subunit ribosomal RNA", at positions 524 to 776 of the family's 1533-position model. The record is from RNAcentral.
UACAGAGGGGGCAAGCGUUGUUCGGAAUUACUGGGCGUAAAGGGCGCGUAGGCGGCCUUCUAAGUCGAACGUGAAAUCCCCGGGCUCAACCCGGGAACUGCGUCCGAUACUGGAAGGCUUGAAUUCGGGAGAGGGAUGCAGAAUUCCAGGUGUAGCGGUGAAAUGCGUAGAGAUCGGGAAGAACAUCGGUGGCGAAGGCGGCCAGCUGGGCCAUUGCUGACGCUGAUGCGCGACAGCGUGGGGAGCAAACAGG